GGCUCAGGCAGCCGCCGAACGUGCCCGUGGGCCCGGCCUGCCAUCCUGCCGCGCUUCUCCCGAGACCUCGGCGCCGCGGCUUCUAGUCCUGGCCGACCGCGGCGCUCCCGGGAGCCGGGCGUCCAGCGUGGCUCGGACGCGGGCCCGGGCCGCGGGGUCAGGGCGCCCUCAGCCGGGUCAGGAAUGGGAGGCAACCCAGCGCUCCAGUCUUUCUGCGUAGGCCACCGACUUCCCCGGGAUCUGAGCAGCUCCCAGCGGACACCGAAAACCCCGGGGACGCCUGGCCCGAGCACUCCAGGCCGCUCGAGAGGUGGCUAACAGCUGGGUCGCCUGGCAGGAGGCUCUGCGCGCGGGGACAUUUCAGGCCCGGGGCCUCGCCGGGAGCGCGCCACAAGGAGCGGCGGGGGGCUGGUCUGCUGCCCGCUUGGCACGCUCCCUACUUUCACCCCGCCUUUGUAAACUUGCUCUGUGGCAUUGAAACCACAGGUGCAGGACCGUGGGCACAGAGAAAGCCAGGCAUGCCCCUUCUUCCCACCCUCCGGACGCCCACCCAGACACCGCCUUCCCCGCCCCCCGCGGCGUCCCCGUCCGCCCCUCGGCGCGCUGAGCUCCCCACCCGCCGCUUGCGUCCUGCUCCGUUUACAGCAGUAAACACUGGGCAGCGGCCCCUGCGUGGAAGGGGGUUGUUCGGAAGUCGUUUAAAGACAGUGUCACCCUCAGGGUAAAUGCCCAGAAGCCGGGCCGCGCAUCCUUGGGCUGAGAAGUGUGGGAACGCCCGAGACCAAGCGAGACUCAGGCCGGAGUUUGGCUGCGGGUCAGGCUCAGGGUCUCGGGAGAAGAAGCCGUCAGACACGGCAGGGCUUAAACCUUCUAGAAAGCAUAUAUAUCCAUCCACUCCUUCUCCAGGAGCAGGGAGUACCACCCGGGCGGUGGCCCAGCGGCGAGGCCGCUCCCGGCGCCGCGCCUGGCUGACCGCUGCGGACGUUUCCUGUCCCGCCGCCCAAAUCUCGCGCUCCCGAGGUAACUAGAGAGGGAACGGAGGGCCCAGAGGCUGCGGAGGUGUGAAGGGACAGCCUGAGGCCAGCGCCUCGGGCGUGUUCUCCUGGCUGGCCUGGAGAACUGCUUUUAUUUAUAAAUCUCUAGGAGUUGAAAUAAAAUUAAACGAAGAGAAAAUAAUAAAUUUUUCAGAAUUAUGUUCUGAAAUGAAAUAAACAAAAACGCGGGAAGAAUCCUCUAGCUCACUAUGGCUGGCAGAACCCGGGCUCUCUUGCGCCGGCUCAGGCAGCCUCUCCCGGCUUAAGCGAGUCUCUGCAGGUUGGCGCUGGCCGCAGCCCCUUGCAUAAGGAGCCCUGUGCCCUCCCUCCGUCCCAUUCUUCCCUGUCCUGGGGGUGGGGUGGGGGUGCAAGAAGGAGGCAGGCUGUGGCAUCCUGUCUGAAAGCAAGGCAGUUUGCCUGGAAGAUGGAGAUUCUCACCUUCCCUGAAAGGAGGAAACGUUCCCAUUUCCACACCCCUCUCUCUGUGCAUAAAAGGGGGCGGAGGGCACUAGCCAAACUGGCCCCCUAGACCUAAAGGGACCUGAGACAUAGACGCAGAGAGAAAAGAGAACAUCUUUGGCAGAAAGGCUGCCCUGCCACGUUGAAUCCAUUAAAAAUUGCCUAGUGCAAUUUUUGUACUACACACUUGUUUGCUUUAUUCAUCAAUUUUUAUGGGAAUGGGAGGCGAGCACGAGA
This 1730-nucleotide long non-coding RNA is filed under the name Homo sapiens (human). RNAcentral's name for it is "HSALNT0205974". The record is from RNAcentral. Lineage: Eukaryota; Metazoa; Chordata; Mammalia; Primates; Hominidae.